Canis lupus familiaris (dog) is the source of this 467-nucleotide long non-coding RNA. RefSeq lists it as uncharacterized. NCBI's taxonomy places the organism in Eukaryota, Metazoa, Chordata, Mammalia, Carnivora, Canidae. The record is from RefSeq and is a predicted model, not a curated record. The transcript has 3 exons.
CUUGGAUCCCGGGAUCAUGACCUGAACCGAAGUCAGAUGCUCAACCACUGAGCCACCCAGAUAAUAGAAGAAUUUUUUCAACUUCUUAAUGUGAAUUUUGGCCACCAGUGUCUUCUUCAAGGCUAAGAUCGCCUUGUGACUGCAUUAUUCUCUUUGCUCCGAGCACACUCUCUUUCUUCUAUUUUUUGACCUAUGCCCCUUCUAACACUGUGGGUUGACAAAACUUACUUCCCUUAGAAUAUGUCAAGAACCAGUAAGGAGAUGCAGCUUAAAAUCCUGCUGAACAGAAAAAUGGACAAAGAAGUGUUGUAUAGACGACUAACAUUUCUAAUCCACAGCAGCUCUAAAGAAGUCCACCGACCACAUGAGAGUCUAAAAAUUGUAGAUGUUAACAAUACUUAAAAAAAAAAAAAAGAAUAAAACAACUGAGGAAAUAUAUGAUAUCCCACCAGUCAACAUUAAUAUAA